AGUUAUAUAUAGAGAGAGUGUCCGCUAAAGAAUCAGUUUCAAUUCAAAAUGGCCAAAUUACUAGUAGUACUCAUUGCUUUAAGCUGCAUUUUGUUGCCACAGAGCCACUUAGUGGCUUCCCUUCAGUGCUAUUCUUGCUCAGGGGUGAUAAAUUCUUAUUCCAAAUGUACAGAUUUGCGUAAUGUUCAUUCUUCAGUUUGUGGAAGUGAUCAAGUUUGUGCUACUUUUGUUUUGCGAAAACCAAAUGUAGAUGUUUUGCAAAGAAAGUGUGCCCCCAGUACUAUAUGCAGUGAUUUGGAAAGAAAAUAUCAGCGUAAUCCAGUUAUUACAGUUAACGAAUGUAAUGUUUGUAAUGAAGAUAACUGUAAUUCUGCCCCUGCUCUGUAAGUUAAUGAAGAUCCUGAGAUAAUUACUGCUGAUGUAUUUGGUAAAUGAAUUUAAUUAAAUAUAUUGAUUGAAAAACUA
This is a long non-coding RNA of Zophobas morio, 465 nucleotides long. RefSeq lists it as uncharacterized. The transcript has 3 exons. The record is from RefSeq and is a predicted model, not a curated record. Lineage: Eukaryota; Metazoa; Arthropoda; Insecta; Coleoptera; Tenebrionidae.